UUUAUAAACAUUAACAAUAUAUAACUAUUAUUUUAGGACCUAAAAAUUAAUCUAUUAAUAUACAUCUGAUAUUUUAUAUGUAUAAAUAAUAUAUAAGUAACAUUAUAGGAACUCAAAAUUUUGAGUUGAGGCCCGAUGCCGUCGCACACCCCGCACAUGUGUGCGAGACGCCUCUAAGUGCUAUGCUAUCUAAAGGUUGAGCUUCUAAGGGAACCCACCUGAAAUGGUUAAUGAUGAACUUAAGAAUGAAGAUUCCAAGCUUUAAGCUCUUUUGCAUAACUUCCUCUUUGAUGCUGCCAUUCCAAACCAAGUGAUGACAAUCGUAUUCUCCAAAAAUCCAAGCAGUGUUUCUUUAACCUUUCAAAAUUCUUAUUUCUCCAACCAUCAAUCCUUACAUGUAAGCACCAUAGAGAAUAAAUGAAUUCAUAAACCUUUUUCAGGGAAAUAGGAAAGUAUUGAUCAAUGGGUAAUGAUUUAGGCCUGAACUGCUUACCUUGAGUUACACGAGAUGAUCGCAGAGAUAGAUAAAAUGUAUGUAGCAACAUAAUUAAAUCUGCAUGACCUCUGUUCUAUGUUUUUGGCAACAUCUCAAGUCCCCCGUGACCAUUUUAGACAACAUGCAGCACCAGAAAAAGAGUAGAUAUAAGGAUUGGAUUUUUGGAAUGAAUCUUAGACAAAGAAGAGGAGAGUAUAAACCAUUAACCAUACCUUAAUUCCUACUCACACAAGACUUAACCCUUGAUUUUUCCACAUCUCUAGGCUCCAAUUUAUCUGAAUUUCGUCCAACACAUCUCCAAUAUGAGAAGACAAGACUUUGUCAUGAAAGAUGCAUUUUCUUAUCCAUGGAGGGUUACAAGGAAAAGAGAACAUAAGAUUGGUUUGGAUUGGGUCAUGAUUUAGUAGAGAAAGAGAGAAUCAGAUACAUGCAAAGCUUCAAUUUAUGGAAAGGAAGAAUUUUUGGACAUAGCCUUGGUGGGAGGUUGUUGGCGUGAGAGAAGAAGAGUGUGGCUUCCUN
This 1015-nucleotide long non-coding RNA is filed under the name Trifolium pratense (red clover). Its description in RNAcentral is "long non-coding RNA (TPRA_LNC004530)". The record is from RNAcentral. Lineage: Eukaryota; Viridiplantae; Streptophyta; Magnoliopsida; Fabales; Fabaceae.